Long non-coding RNA from Salvia splendens (bonfire salvia), 724 nucleotides. RefSeq lists it as uncharacterized. NCBI's taxonomy places the organism in Eukaryota, Viridiplantae, Streptophyta, Magnoliopsida, Lamiales, Lamiaceae. The transcript is spliced from 2 exons. The record is from RefSeq and is a predicted model, not a curated record.
GCAUCGAAGUCGCGGUCAGCCUCUGCUCCUCGCCCUCUCUGCCACUGCCGGAGACGCACAGGCAGCGACGUCGCCUCUACCCAUCUUGUCGUCGCUGCUGAGCAGCCGCUGCUGUCGCUGCUCUCCCCGCCGGCUCGCCGUUGAUUGAAUGAGGGAGAUGGAAGGUGGAGAAGUUGAAAGAUGGAGAGUCUCCUCGCUGUUCUGCCCGUCGCGCCACCGCAUCGAAGUCACGGUCAUCCUCUGCUCCUCGCCCUCUCUGCCACUGUUGGAGACGCACAGGCAGCGACGUCACCUCUGCCCGUCUUGUCGUCGCUGCUGAGCAGCCGCUGCUGUCGAUGCUCUCCCCGCCGGCUCGUCGUUGUUCGCCUUCUCCCUCUCUCGGCCCUCUCUCUUUGUUCUUGUUACAAAGUGUGUGUUGUGAGAAGUGAAGGGAUUGAUAUAUUGCACUUGAUAAAAUGAUGGUUUCAGAAGGUAAAAUGAUAAUUGCACUUGAUAAAAUGAUGGUUUCAGGGGAUAAAAUGAUAGUUUUAGGGGAUAAAAGUAAAAGUAUCAUUUUAUCAACUCAGAGUAUCAUUUUAUACGGCAAAACUAUCAUUUUAUCAACUCAGAGUGUCAUUCUAUCUCUGCAAAACUAUCAUUUUAGCAUCACUAAAAUGAAGAACAUGUAUACAACUAUGUAUUGGAUAGCUCAUCAAAUAUACAAAAAAUGAUUUUUUAUGUUUAA